This 450-nucleotide ribosomal RNA is filed under the name uncultured bacterium. RNAcentral describes it as "bacterial SSU rRNA". It matches the Rfam family "Bacterial small subunit ribosomal RNA", at positions 354 to 796 of the family's 1533-position model. The record is from RNAcentral.
GUGGGGAAUAUUGGACAAUGGGGGAAACCCUGAUCCAGCGACGCCGCGUGUGUGAAGAAGGCCUGCGGGUUGUAAAGCACUUUCGGUGGGAACGAAAUAUGCCGGGCCAAUACCCCGGCAGGCUGACGUUACCCAAUGAAGAAGCACCGGCUAACUCUGUGCCAGCAGCCGCGGUAAUACAGAGGGUGCGAGCGUUAAUCGGAAUUACUGGGCGUAAAGCGCACGUAGGCGGCUUCGUAAGUCGGAUGUGAAAUCCCCGGGCUCAACCUGGGAACUGCAUUCGAGACUGCGAUGCUCGAGUAUGGGAGAGGACAGCGGAAUUCCGGGUGUAGCGGUGAAAUGCGUAGAUAUCCGGAGGAACAUCAGUGGCGAAGGCGGCUGUCUGGCCCAAUACUGACGCUCAGGUGCGAAAGCGUGGGGAGCAAACAGGAUUAGAAACCCCAGUAGUCC